Molecule: transfer RNA, 72 nt
Filed under: archaeon
Lineage: Archaea
Description: tRNA-Phe
Rfam family: tRNA
About the family: Transfer RNA (tRNA) molecules are approximately 80 nucleotides in length. Their secondary structure includes four short double-helical elements and three loops (D, anti-codon, and T loops). Further hydrogen bonds mediate the characteristic L-shaped molecular structure. tRNAs have two regions of fundamental functional importance: the anti-codon, which is responsible for specific mRNA codon recognition, and the 3' end, to which the tRNAs corresponding amino acid is attached (by aminoacyl-tRNA synthetases). tRNAs cope with the degeneracy of the genetic code in two manners: having more than one tRNA (with a specific anti-codon) for a particular amino acid; and 'wobble' base-pairing, i.e. permitting non-standard base-pairing at the 3rd anti-codon position.
Source: RNAcentral
GGGAGGGUAGCUCAGAGGGAGAGCACUACGCUGAAGACGUAGCCGUCGGGAGUUCGAUUCUCCCCUCUCCCA